ACUGGGCCUGGCUGGAAUGCCUCCCGUGUGUGCUCCUCCAUGUUCUUUCUACUUCUUGUAAGAAUCUGUAGAAGCCACGUGUUGAAAAUGGAAGAGUCCCAAGUUGGAAGGAGGUUGGGUGCUUCUAUCACCAUUUGAGGAAGAAUUACCCACUAGCUGAUCAGGGAUCAGCCAUUUUGAACAUUACACAAGCAGGAAAUGAACUUCUAUUGUGUCUUCCUCCUAGGAAUCAUCCCAAAAGCUGAGCCUCAGUGGAAGCUGCCCUACCCAGAUAUCCACCUGGGAAGACCCCAGAGAAAGCCACUGGCUGCCUACCCUGGGAUUUGUUUUGUAGCCUCUGCAUCUAGAAGACCAGCACCAAUUUCUACUCAAGGAACAAAAAGAAUCUAUACACAUCACAGAAUAAAUAACCCCACAGAUUACAAAUAACCCAUUCUCCAGGCUCACUGGCCUCAUUCUAUGCCCGGAAACCUCUGUGUCAUUUUGUCUCUAUGUCUCUUUCAUCAGAAAGCAAAAUGCACAAUGUAGCUCUGUUCUGGGAAGAGCUAUGGGUUACUGCAAAUGGAAGCGUCUGACUAUGACUGCCGGACUGCCUGGAGUUUGGGUCAGCAGGGGAUGUCAGCUUUUCAAUCCCUCUCUAAAAGCCCCUUCCCCCAACUAUGCAUUAGGGAGACUUCUCUGUAGCUGGAAGACAGACGCUUAGUGUUCCUUCCUGGAGGCUGCAAGCCCAUCCAUCCUUGUGCUGUGAUUGCCAUCUUGUGGCAGAGAGACAACAAGGCAAUGGGGGAGGACCCAACCAAUGAUGAGCCUCCCAAGAGCACCACGAGAUGAUGGUCAAAAUCAGAGUUCCUUUGUCUGCCCCCACCACCCACCACCAAAAAAAAAAAGCGUCCUGCUCUCUGUUUACCAUUCCCCAAAUCAUAUGCUUUGGGGAUUCUCUGCAACUGGUUUUUUUAUUUAGCUAUUAUAAAAAUGAUACAUGCC
This 984-nucleotide long non-coding RNA is filed under the name Homo sapiens (human). Its description in RNAcentral is "non-protein coding lnc-MBTD1-6:2". Lineage: Eukaryota; Metazoa; Chordata; Mammalia; Primates; Hominidae. The record is from RNAcentral.